Molecule: long non-coding RNA, 214 nt
Filed under: Sorghum bicolor (sorghum)
Lineage: Eukaryota; Viridiplantae; Streptophyta; Magnoliopsida; Poales; Poaceae
Description: long non-coding RNA (SBIC_LNC012806)
Source: RNAcentral
GUUGCUAUACCUUCAACCUUUCGGAAUGUCUGAUCUGCCAUCUAGAGCUGAAUAUAUGUUGGUUUUAAGGGCAUGGUUCUGAACAAGAGCCGAUAGGUGACUGCGGCCAUUAUGUUGACGCCCGAUCCAGUGUCGCAAAGUGUGUUGACGGUUCUUAAGUAUCAAUUUUAAUUAUCAAAUAAACAAGAGAAAGGACCGAUAUGCAACCAACACC